Molecule: ribosomal RNA, 462 nt
Filed under: uncultured bacterium
Lineage: Bacteria
Description: partial 16S ribosomal RNA
Rfam family: Bacterial small subunit ribosomal RNA
Source: RNAcentral
GACGAACGCUGGCGGCGUGCUUAACACAUGCCAGUCGAGCGGUAAGGCCUUUCGGGGUACACGAGCGGCGAACGGGUGAGUAACACGUGGGUGAUCUGCCCUGCACUUCGGGAUAAGCCUGGGAAACUGGGUCUAAUACCGGAUAUGACCUCCUAUCGCAUGGUGGGUGGUGGCAAGAUUUAUCGGUGCAGGAUGGGCCCGCGGCCUAUCAGCUUGUUGGUGGGGUAAUGGCCUACCAAGGCGACGACGGGUAGCCGACCUGAGAGGGUGACCGGCCACACUGGGACUGAGACACGGCCCAGACUCCUACGGGAGGCAGCAGUGGGGAAUAUUGCACAAUGGGCGAAAGCCUGAUGCAGCGACGCCGCGUGAGGGAUGACGGCCUUCGGGUUGUAAACCUCUUUCAGCAGGGACGAAGCGCAAGUGACGGUACCUGCAGAAGAAGCACCGGCUAACUACGUG